UUUAAUUCGAUGCAACGCGAAGAACCUUACCUGGUCUUGACAUCCACAGAACUUUCCAGAGAUGGAUUGGUGCCUUCGGGAACUGUGAGACCAGGUGCUGCAUGGCUGUCGUCAGCUCGUGUUGUGAAAUGUUGGGUUAAGUCCCGCAACGAGCGCAACCCUUAUCCUUUGUUGCCAGCGGUCCGGCCGGGAACUCAAGGGAGACUGCCAGUGAUAAACUGGAGGAAGGUGGGGAUGACGUCAAGUCAUCAUGGCCCUUACGACCAGGGCUACACACGUGCUACAAUGGCGCAUACAAAGAGAAGCGACCUCGCGAGAGCAAGCGGACCUCAUAAAGUGCGUCGUAGUCCGGAUUGGAGUCUGCAACUCGACUCCAUGAAGUCGGAAUCGCUAGUAAUCGUGGAUCAGAAUGCCACGGUGAAUACGUUCCCGGGCCUUGUACACACCGCCCGUCACACCAUGGGAGUGGGUUGCAAAAGAAGUAGGUAGCUUAACCUUCGGGAGGGCGCUUACCACUUUGUGAUUCAUGAGCUGGGGUGAAGUCGUAAACAAGGUAACCCCACCGGAAGAUGAGG
RNAcentral lists this ribosomal RNA (575 nucleotides) under uncultured bacterium. RNAcentral describes it as "bacterial SSU rRNA". It matches the Rfam family "Bacterial small subunit ribosomal RNA", at positions 945 to 1517 of the family's 1533-position model. The record is from RNAcentral.